GACGAAACGACGUGGACGGCGUGCCUAACCACGAGUGCAAGUCGAGGCGGAGACAUGUUGCGGAAGGUUUCGAGUGGAAGGCGAUAUGUUUUAGCGGCGGACGGGUGAGUAACGCGUGAGCAACCUUUCCUUCACAGGGGAAUAACGCACCGAAAGGUGCACUAAUACCGCAUGAGACCACAGCUCUGCAUGGAGCAGUGGCUAAAGGAGAAAUCCGGUGAAGGGUGGGCUCGCGUCCGAUUAGCUAGUUGGCAGGGUGAUAGCCUACCAAGGCGACGAUCGGUAGCCGACCUGAGAGGGUGAUCGGCCACACUGGGACUGAGAUACGGCCCAG
This 334-nucleotide ribosomal RNA is filed under the name uncultured bacterium. Its description in RNAcentral is "bacterial SSU rRNA". It matches the Rfam family "Bacterial small subunit ribosomal RNA", at positions 33 to 334 of the family's 1533-position model. The record is from RNAcentral.